AAGUCGUAACAAGGUUUCCGUAGGUGAACCUGCGGAAGGAUCAUUAUCGAAAGAAAAGGUUCUUUCGGGCUGUUGCUGGUCUCCUCGCGAGGGGAGGCAUGUGCACGCCCGUAGGGACCGUAUCCUUCUCCCACCCCUGUGCACCUCUGCGUGGGUCCGUCGGCGCAAGCCUUUGGAUCCGCGUCUUAUCUAUAAACCCUUAUGUAUGUCUUUAGAAUGUUAUAUGCGAUAAAAAGCAUCUUGUACAACUUUCAACAACGGAUCUCUUGGCUCUC
RNAcentral lists this unclassified non-coding RNA (275 nucleotides) under air metagenome. RNAcentral's name for it is "partial contains small subunit ribosomal RNA, internal transcribed spacer 1, and 5.8S ribosomal RNA". The stretch from base 1 to 46 matches the Rfam family "Eukaryotic small subunit ribosomal RNA", at positions 1786 to 1831 of the family's 1831-position model. The record is from RNAcentral.